RNAcentral lists this long non-coding RNA (384 nucleotides) under Homo sapiens (human). Its description in RNAcentral is "HSALNT0307144". The record is from RNAcentral. Lineage: Eukaryota; Metazoa; Chordata; Mammalia; Primates; Hominidae.
UUAAUUUCCUGAACUGCAAGAGUAUCUGUGUUAACAGGGGAAUUGGAGGAAUUACUGCUCUGACCAUGAGUAAAAAAUUCAGUAUCAAGCUGCUGGUAAGGCAGAUUGUGAGAGUGUUUCCUGACUUCAGUUCUCACCAACAGCUGAGACAAUAUGUGAGAAAUGGGAAAUGGGAGUGACAGGAGAGCCUGAGACACACAGAGACCAAAAGAAAUGUGCCAGAGAGUUGGCCAGCAUGGGAGAACAACCAGUACUUCCUCCCAGUUGCAUUAAAAUAAAGUGAGAUAAGAUCAGUAAACAGUGCUCCUGCUGUAUAAUAAUCUGCAUAUAGAAUACUCUGUGAUGGGAGAACACUGGCUCUUUCAAAGAUUUAGGACUCUCCUA